GCGAACGCUGGCGGCAGGCUUAACACAUGCAAGUCGAGCGGGCACUUCGGUGUCAGCGGCAGACGGGUGAGUAACACGUGGGAACGUACCCUUCGGUUCGGAAUAACGCUGGGAAACUAGCGCUAAUACCGGAUACGCCCUUUUGGGGAAAGGUUUACUGCCGAAGGAUCGGCCCGCGUCUGAUUAGCUAGUUGGUGGGGUAAUGGCCUACCAAGGCGACGAUCAGUAGCUGGUCUGAGAGGAUGAUCAGCCACACUGGGACUGAGACACGGCCCAGACUCCUACGGGAGGCAGCAGUGGGGAAUAUUGGACAAUGGGCGCAAGCCUGAUCCAGCCAUGCCGCGUGAGUGAUGAAGGCC
This 359-nucleotide ribosomal RNA is filed under the name uncultured bacterium. RNAcentral's name for it is "bacterial SSU rRNA". It matches the Rfam family "Bacterial small subunit ribosomal RNA", at positions 29 to 416 of the family's 1533-position model. The record is from RNAcentral.